UUAUCCUACGGGACGCCGCAGUGGGGAAUAUUGCACAAUGGGGGGAACCCUGAUGCAGCAAUGCCGCGUGGGUGAAGAAGCACUCCGGUGCGUAAAGCCCUGUCAGCAGGGAAGAAAAUGACAGUACCUGGACAAGAAGCCCCGGCUAACUACGUGCCAGCAGCCGCGGUAAUACGUAGGGGGCAAGCGUUAUCCGGAUUUACUGGGUGUAAAGGGAGCGUAGACGGAAUUGCAAGUCUGAUGUGAAAAUCCGGGGCCCAACCCCGGAACUGCAUUGGAAACUGUAUUUCUAGAGUGUCGGAGAG
RNAcentral lists this ribosomal RNA (305 nucleotides) under uncultured bacterium. Its description in RNAcentral is "bacterial SSU rRNA". It matches the Rfam family "Bacterial small subunit ribosomal RNA", at positions 334 to 656 of the family's 1533-position model. The record is from RNAcentral.